This 481-nucleotide ribosomal RNA is filed under the name uncultured bacterium. RNAcentral's name for it is "partial 16S ribosomal RNA". It matches the Rfam family "Bacterial small subunit ribosomal RNA", at positions 28 to 523 of the family's 1533-position model. The record is from RNAcentral.
GACGAACGCUGGCGGCGUGCUUAACACAUGCAAGUCGAGCGGUAAGGCUCCUUCGGGAGUACACGAGCGGCGAACGGGUGAGUAACACGUGAGCAAUCUGCCCUUCACACGGGGAUAACCCUCGGAAACGAGAGCUAAUACCCGAUACGACCACUUCAGGCAUCUGAUGGUGGUGGAAAGUUCUGGCGGUGAAGGAUGAGCUCGCGGCCUAUCAGCUUGUUGGCGGGGUAACGGCCCACCAAGGCAACGACGGGUAGCCGGCCUGAGAGGGUGACCGGCCACACUGGGACUGAGACACGGCCCAGACUCCUACGGGAGGCAGCAGUGGGGAAUAUUGGACAAUGGGCGAAGGCCCGAUCCAGCAACGCCGCGUGAGGGAUGACGGCCUUCGGGUUGUAAACCUCUUUCAGCAGGGACGAAGCGCAAGUGACGGUACCUGCAGAAGAAGCACCGGCCAACUACGUGCCAGCCGCCGCGGUAA